GGAGUUUGGACCGUGUCUCAGUUCCAAUGUGGCCGUUUACCCUCUCAGGUCGGCUACUGAUCGUCGCCUUGGUGAGCCGUUACCCCACCAACUAGCUAAUCAGACGCAGGCCCAUCCCAUACCGAUAAAUCUUUGACAGUCCUAACAUGCGAUAAAACUGUGUUAUGAGGUAUUAAUUACCGUUUCCAGUAGCUAUCCCUUUGUAUGGGGCAGGUUGCCUACGCGUUACUCACCCGUCCGCCGGUCGCCAUCAUAAAUAGCAAGCUAUCUAUAUGCUGCCCCUCGACUUGCAUGUGUUAAGCCUGUAGCUAGCGUUCAUC
RNAcentral lists this ribosomal RNA (320 nucleotides) under uncultured Clostridiaceae bacterium. RNAcentral's name for it is "partial 16S ribosomal RNA". The record is from RNAcentral. Lineage: Bacteria; Bacillati; Bacillota; Clostridia; Eubacteriales; Clostridiaceae.